Arvicanthis niloticus (Nile rat) is the source of this 5719-nucleotide non-coding RNA. The record is from RefSeq and is a predicted model, not a curated record. NCBI's taxonomy places the organism in Eukaryota, Metazoa, Chordata, Mammalia, Rodentia, Muridae.
CCUGGUGAAGAAUGUGAUGGGAUCACUAGCAUGUCUACAGAGAGCGGCCCUGGGACACGAUUGAGAAAUCUGCCAGUAAUGGGGGAUGGACUAGAAACUUCCCAAAUGUCUACAACGCAGGCCCAGGCCCAAACCCAGCCAGCAAAUGCAGCCAGCACCAAUCCUCCACCCCAGAGACCUCCAACCUAACAAGCCCAAGAGGCGACCAACCAACUGCAAUAUCUGCUCAGAGUGGUGCUCAAGACACUAUGGAAACACCAGUUUGCGUGGCCUUUCCAGCAGCCUGUGGAUGCCGUCAAGCUGAACCUCCCUGAUUACUAUAAGAUCAUUAAAACACCCAUGGAUAUGGGAACAAUAAAGAAGCGCUUGGAAAACAACUAUUACUGGAAUGCUCAGGAAUGUAUCCAGGACUUCAACACUAGUUUACAAUGUUACAUCUAUAACAAGCCUGGAGAAUGACAUCGUCUUAAUGGCAGAAGCUCUGGAGAGCUCUUCUUGCAAAAAAUCAAUGAACUGCCUACAGAAGAAACUGAGAUCAUGAUAGUCCAGGCAAAAGGAAGAGGACGAGGGAGGAAAGAAACUGGUAGGGCAGCAAAGCCUGGUGUAUCCCCGGUACCAAACACAACUCAAGCAUAACUUCUCCACAAACCCAGACGCCUCAGCAGAACCCUCCUCCACCUGUGCAGGCCACACUCACCCCUUUCCUGCUGUUACCCCAGACCUCAUUGCGCAGCCUCCUGUUAUGACAAUGGUGCCCCCCCAGCCACUUCAGACUCCUUCACCGUACCUCCCCCCCGCCACCACCACCACCUGCUCCAGUUCCACACCUGUGCAGAGUCACCCGCCUAUCAUGGCGACUUACCCCACAGCCUACGAAGACAAAGAAAGGGGUGAAGAGGAAAGCAGAUACCAACUACCCCCCACCACCAUCGACCCAUUCAUGAGCCGCCCUCAUUGGCCCCAGAGCCUAAGACAGCUAAACAAGUUCUGGGUCCGCCUCAGCACGGGAGAGCAGCAGACCUGUGAAGCCCCCAAAGAAGGAUGUACCAGACUCACAGCAGCAUCCAGGGCCAGAGAGAGCAGCAAGAUCUCUGAGCAGCUGAAGUGCUGCAGUGGCAUCCUCAAGGAGAUUUUGCCAAGAAACAUGCUUGCCUAUGCCUGGCCUUUCUACAAGCCUGGGAUGUGGAGGCACCUGGUUCUGGCACGACUACUGUGACAUCAUUAAACAUCCCAUGGACAAUGAGCACAAUCAAUCUAAACUAGAGUCCCCCGGGGUACAGGGAUGCCCAGGAAUUUGGUGCGAUGUGCGAUUAUGUUCUCUCAACUGCUACAAGUAUAACCCCCCUGACCAGAAGUAGUAGCCAUGGCUCGAAAACUCCAGGAUGUGUUUGAAAUGCGCUUUGCCAAGAUGCCUGAUGAGCCUGAAGAGCCGGUUGUUAUGGUGUCCUCCCCUGCAGUGCCACCCCCUACAAAGGUGGUAGCCCCCGCCCUCAUCUAGUGACAGCAGCAGUGAUAGUUCCUCCGACAGUGACAGUUUCCUCUGACGACUCCGAGGAAGAGCGAGCCCAGAGGCUGGCUGAGCUCCAGGAACAGCUCAAAGCCGUGCAUGAGCAGCUUGCAGCCCUCUCACAGCCCCAGCAGAACAAACCAAAGAAAAAGGAGAAGGACAAGAAGGAAAAGAAAAAGGAAAAGCACAAAAAGAAAGAAGAAGUGGAGGAAAAUAAAAAAAGCAAAACCAAGGAACUUCCUCCCAAAAAGACAAAGAAAAAUAACAGCAGCAACAGCAAUGUGAGCAAGAAGGAACCAGCACCCACGAAGACCAAGCCUCCUCCCACAUAUGAAUCAGAAGAAGAGGACAAGUGUAAACCCAUGUCUUAUGAGGAGAAGCGGCAGCUAAGUCUAGAUAUCAACAAGCUUCCUGGUGAGAAGCUAGGCCGUGUAGUACACAUAAUUCAGUCAAGGGAGCCAUCACUUAAAAACUCCAACCCUGAUGAGAUUGAGAUUGACUUUGAGACCUUAAAGCCAUCUACACUACGAGAGUUGGAGCGAUAUGUCACCUCUUGUUUGCGGAAGAAAAGGAAACCUCAAGCUGAAAAAGUUGAUGUGAUUGCUGGUUCUUCCAAGAUGAAGGGCUUCUCAUCCUCUGAGUCGGAGAGCACCAGCGAAUCUAGCUCCUCUGACAGUGAAGACUCUGAAACAGAGAUGGCUCCCAAGUCAAAAAAGAAGGGGCACACUGGGAGGGACCAGAAAAAGCAUCAUCAUCAUCACCAUCCACAGAUGCAGCCAGCCCCAGCUCCUGUGCCCCAGCAGCCGCCCCCACCUCCACAGCAGCCUCCUCCACCCCCACCUCCGCAGCAGCAGCAACAGCAGCAGCAGCCACCCCCACCCCCACCGCCUCCGCCUUCCAUGCCACAGCAGACUGCCCCAGCGAUGAAGUCCUCGCCCCCACCCUUCAUCACUGCCCAGGUACCCGUCCUGGAACCACAGCUACCAGGCAGUGUCUUUGACCCUAUUGGCCACUUCACCCAACCCAUCUUGCACCUGCCGCAGCCGGAGCUGCCUCCUCACCUGCCCCAGCCACCUGAGCACAGCACUCCACCCCAUCUCAACCAGCAUGCUGUGGUCUCUCCUCCAGCUUUGCACAAUGCGCUGCCCCAACAACCAUCUCGGCCCAGCAACCGAGCUGCUGCUCUGCCCCCAAAGCCUACCCGACCCCCAGCUGUGUCUCCUGCCCUGGCCCAGCCGCCCCUGCUCCCACAGCCACCUAUGGCUCAGCCCCCCCAAGUGCUGCUGGAGGAUGAAGAGCCGCCUGCCCCACCCCUCACCUCCAUGCAGAUGCAGUUGUACCUACAGCAGCUGCAGAAGGUGCAGCCUCCCACACCACUACUCCCUUCCGUGAAGGUGCAGUCCCAACCCCCACCGCCUUUGCCGCCUCCGCCCCACCCUUCUGUGCAGCAGCAGCAGCAGCAGCAGCAGCAGCAGCUCCAGCAGCAGCCUCCACCACCCCCACCUCCUCAGCCACAACCACCACCCCAGCAACAACACCAGCCCCCACCACGACCAGUUCACUUGCCAUCCAUGCCCUUUUCUGCUCACAUUCAGCAGCCCCCACCACCCACAGGACAGCAACCCACCCACCCACCCCCGGGACAGCAGCCACCCCCACCACAGCCUGCCAAGCCUCAGCAAGUCAUCCAGCAUCACCCAUCACCCCGGCACCACAAGUCAGACCCCUACGCAGCCGGUCAUCUUCGUGAAGCUCCCUCUCCGCUUAUGAUACAUUCCCCUCAGAUGCCACAGUUCCAGAGCCUGACCCAUCAGUCUCCUCCCCAGCAAAAUGUCCAGCCUAAGAAGCAGGUAAAGGGCAGGGCUGAGCCACAGCCCCCAGGGCCAGUCAUUGGCCGAGGCCAGGGAUGCCCACCUGCCUCACCGGCUGCCGUACCUCUGCUGUCCCAGGAGCUGCGCCCACCUUCAGUCGUCCAGCCCCAGCCCCUGGUGGUAGUAAAAGAGGAGAAGAUUCACUCACCAAUCAUCCGCAGCGAGCCUUUCAGCACCUCACUUCGACCAGAGCCCCCCAAGCACCCAGAGAACAUCAAGGCCCCAGUCCACCUGCCCCAGCGGCCUGAGAUGAAGCCUGUAGAUGUAGGGAGGCCUGUGAUCCGGCCUCCAGAGCAGAGUGCACCCCCACCAGGGGCCCCCGACAAGGACAAGCAGAAACAGGAGCCAAAAACACCAGUGGCACCCAAAAAGGACCUGAAAAUUAAGAACAUGGGCUCCUGGGCCAGCCUGGUACAGAAGCAUCCGACCGCCCCAUCCUCCACAGCCAAGUCCUCAAGUGACAGCUUUGAGCAUUUCCGUCGUGCUGCUCGGGAGAAGGAGGAGCGGGAAAAGGCCCUGAAGGCUCAGGCUGAGCAUGCAGAGAAGGAGAAGGAGCGGCUGAGGCAGGAGCGCAUGAGGAGCCGAGAGGAUGAGGAUGCGCUGGAACAGGCACGUCGAGCCCAUGAGGAGGCACGACGGCGCCAGGAGCAGCAGCAGCAGCAGCAGCAGAGACAGGAGCAGCAGCAGCAGCAACAGCAGGCAGCUGCUGUGGCCGCUGCCUCCGCCCCCCAGGCCCAGAGCUCCCAGCCCCAGUCUAUGCUGGACCAGCAGAGGGAGUUGGCCCGAAAACGAGAGCAGGAGCGGAGGCGCAGGGAGGCAAUGGCAGCUACAAUUGACAUGAAUUUCCAGAGUGAUCUUUUGUCAAUAUUUGAAGAAAAUCUUUUUUGAGAGCACCCAGGUGACUUCGGACUUUUUCUGGCAAAAAUGUUGACUCUCCAUAGUGUUAGGGCGGCAGUGGAAGCAGCAGCAGCCAGGGAUGGCUCUGGGCCUGGCUCUCCUGCAUGCUAUGCCCGGGGCAGGCCUGACGGGCAGCUGAGGAUCGCAGAGCCCAUCUGCCUUACAGCCAGCCGGACAGACGUCCUACCACAUGCCACCCCCUCAGAGGACGUCGGUUCACAGCACGUCUCUAUGAGUCAAGUGCCGGCUGGACCUGAGCCUGCUUCCCCGCGUGCGGGGCAGAGGCCUUUCUCUGCGCCAAAUGUCUACACAGUAUACACAGGACAUUGUUGCUGCCGCCACCGUGACUGGUUUUCUGUCCCUGAGAAUAUGACGUUUGUGACGUCCUACCCAUUGGGAGUCCUUCACACCCCAGCCAUCGCUGCCCACUCCCAGGAGGUCAGGGCAGGCCUGUGUGGACUGGAGCAGCAAGGCACUGGCCCACCCCUUGCUGGCACUGACUUUGCCUUGAACAGACCCUCUCCCCUCCCCCCACAAGCCUUUAAUCGAGAGCCGCUCUCUAUAAGUGUUCGCUUGUGCAAAAGGGAAUAGUGCCGUGGAAGUGUGUGUGUCCAUGGCAGUUUGGACAGAGGUGACUGUUCACAUGUAUGGACAGGCCUCGCCUGGGGAGUAAGGCCACCAACCAAAGUCAGUUCCUUCCCACCUGUGUUUCUGAUUUUUUUUUUCCUAUAUAUAUAUAUUUUUUUGUUGUUGUUGAAUUCUAUUUUAUUUUUAACUCUCUCUUCUCCUCAGACACAGUGAGUGGCACUGCUUAUCUCCAAAUGGUGUGAUGGUCUCCUCAUUGAGCGGCAGCUCCCACUGCGCUGUGGGUAGUGUGUGACCGUGGCUGUACUGUAUAGUGAACAUAGUUGGCAUACCUUUGUUUGAAGUUUGUUGGUGACUCCACCAAACUGGUGUAAAAAAGACAAAAAAAAAAUCCAUGAACCACCCAACACACACAAAACAAUCCUGCUUGUAUUCAGUUACAAACUUUAUUAGUCUUAUUUUUAAUUAUAAAACCAGAAAGCUGCAAUUUCUUUUCCCUCUACCCUUUAUUUGUUGGCUUCUUUGUUUUUUUAAUGUCAAAUCUGUUUGUUUUUACCAAGAAAGGGAGAGCCUGGGGAAGGCUCCAGGCCCUAGUGGGCUGCACCCUGACGGAUGCAGAGGUCCCCACCCAGCACCUGGUCAGACCAGCGCUGCGCCCUCCUUCCUAUUAGUAGUGUUGUUUUGUUUUUAAAUUGGAGCCCCUGGUGAGGUUACAUGUGCCAUGAGAACCCAGUCUCGCCACAGUGCUGGUGCCUCGGUGUUGGCCAAACUCUGGAGUCACUGACUGCUUUGACUUUCAUGUCGUGAAUAUGCAUUUGGUCUGUACUGAUCAUGGAAUAAACACAUCUCUCUUUUUUAA